Molecule: transfer RNA, 83 nt
Filed under: Rhizobium album
Lineage: Bacteria; Pseudomonadati; Pseudomonadota; Alphaproteobacteria; Hyphomicrobiales; Rhizobiaceae
Rfam family: tRNA
About the family: Transfer RNA (tRNA) molecules are approximately 80 nucleotides in length. Their secondary structure includes four short double-helical elements and three loops (D, anti-codon, and T loops).
Source: Rfam by way of RNAcentral
GCGGACGUGGCGAAAUUGGUAGACGCAAGAGACUUAAAAUCUCUCGGCCUUCGGCUGUACGGGUUCGACCCCCGUCGUCCGCA